This 255-nucleotide ribosomal RNA is filed under the name uncultured bacterium. RNAcentral describes it as "partial 16S ribosomal RNA". It matches the Rfam family "Bacterial small subunit ribosomal RNA", at positions 336 to 608 of the family's 1533-position model. The record is from RNAcentral.
CGCCUACGGGAGGCAGCAGUGGGGAGUAUUGCACAAUGGGGGAAACCCUGAUGCAGCGACGCCGCGUGAGCGAUGAAGUAUUUGGGUAUGUAAAUCUCUAGCAGCAGGGAAGAAAAUGACGGUACCUGACUAAGAAGCCCUGGCUAACUACGUGCCAGCAGCCGCGGUAAUACGUAGGGGGAAAGCGGUAUCCGGAUUUACUGGGUGUAAAGGGAGCGAAGACGGUCCUGCAAGCCAGAUGUGAAAGCCCAGGGC